Molecule: RNA transcript, 1447 nt
Organism: Medicago truncatula (barrel medic)
Lineage: Eukaryota; Viridiplantae; Streptophyta; Magnoliopsida; Fabales; Fabaceae
Exons: 6
Source: RefSeq, a predicted model, not a curated record
UAAGAGACUCGAUGUAUCAUAGUAAUAUUCAUGAUUCACAUACUAAAUCAAGGGGGGAGAGAGAGAGAACAUUUCCACACAUAAAUACAAAAUCAAAGGAGAGAGAGGGAAAACAGAACCUUAAAAACCGCCUAACUUGGAGUAUAGAAUAUCUAUUUCCUCUCAAAAAAUCUUUUUUUCUUUUUGUGUUAUGUGAGUUUCCUCACUUUACUUUGAAUUUCCAUUUCCAUGGAGUCUUCUCCACCUUCUUCAAAUCCUCUCUUCCAUCUCUAUCAUCCUCACAACAAAUCAAAAAUGCACCAUCCCAUUUUCCUCUUUGCAUCACUCUCCCUUCUCUCUCUAACCAUUCUCUUUUUCUCUCUCUACAAACGCUUCUCCAAACCCCACAAACACAACCAAAAAACCAAACUUUCUGAUAAUUCUCCUUCACAACCCGACCCAAUUAGCCCGACCCAUUUAUCAAAAUCGAUUCUUUUUGAAGUUCUCCCCUCUGAUUCCGCUAAAUGGGAUACCUUGUUCGAUGACCCGGAUUCAGUUUUGGAAGUUCCAUCGGAGAAGAAAAAGAGGAGGAAGAAGAAAGCAAAGAAGAAGAAAGAAAUGAAUUCGGAAAGUGAAGAGUGUGUGAAAGCGGGUUUUGAUUCGGGUGUGAAGCUUGAAUCUGAUUGCAUGUAUCCGUUUACUUCUUCAAGUAGCGUUUUGCAGAGAAAAAUUAAACUGCAAUAUGAUGAGCUUGUUAAAAGUAAUGAAUCCAAGAAAUUGACUCUGCCACAGGUUGUCCGGUUCGCUAAUAGUUUAAUUGAUGCUAGGAAUGAGCUUCAACACAAGGCUGACGUGAUUCAAAGAAAGUUUGUAAUAACAAAGGCUUUACUAUGCAAGGCAGACAGAUCUUCUUUUGACCGACUUCAUCAACAGAUAUACAAGCUAGAAUUAGAACAAAAAAGAUUAGAGGAGGAUGCUUUUGUUUAUAACUCACUUCAAUACCAGCUUAAACUUUCACCUGCAUACAAAAAGGUGUCAUACUCUUCAAUUUUGUUGCAAAAAUGCUUGAACUUGGAGCGUGCACGGAGAAGGCAAAACAAUGUGAACAGGUAGACAACAUAGAUGAUGAAUUUGCCGACAUUUCUUUUGAAGAAUUAUUAGCACAAGAGAAGAAGGAUUCGUUUUGGCAAAAAAAUGGAAAAUCAAGAGUGUGCUCAAGCUAAUUUAUAAGAGUACUACUAACUGUUAGUUUAGUGUGUACAUCUAAUAUAUCUAUAGUGUACUGUCACAUGAAUGUUCUUUUUGGUUCUUUCCAUGUGCCAUUUUUGGUUGUUUAUGGAAUAUAGAUGAUUAUAUUAGGAGGAAUUCAUAAAUGGAAGUCGUUUAAAUUGAAAUAUAUAAUGUGACAUACUUAUACCAUGAAAUUUUGAGGACUACAUGGGGGUUUACUUGGGAUUUAGCUCAAUAA